Molecule: ribosomal RNA, 254 nt
Filed under: uncultured bacterium
Lineage: Bacteria
Description: partial 16S ribosomal RNA
Rfam family: Bacterial small subunit ribosomal RNA
Source: RNAcentral
UACGGAGGGGGCAAGCGUUGUUCGGAAUUACUGGGCGUAAAGGGCGCGCAGGCGGCUGCUCAAGUCAGGCGUGAAAGGCCUGGGCUCAACCCGGGAAUUGCGCUUGAGACUGGGCUGGCUUGAGUGUGGGAGAGGAUGGUGGAAUUCCCAGUGUAGAGGUGAAAUUCGUAGAUAUUGGGAAGAACACCGGUGGCGAAGGCGGCCAUCUGGACUGCAACUGACGCUGAGGCGCGAAAGCGUGGGGAGCAAACAGG